CUCAGAGACUGAUCUUGAGAGAGCGAAAAGCUCUCAACACAGUGAGAUAGUUAGAAAACUAUCAGACGCCGAACUCCCGAUGCAAAAUCGGGAUGAUGAUAUAGUCCGAUCCUCAUGGUGACAUGAGAAAAUAUCUUUCCAAAAGAAAGGCCAGCAGCAGCGGUAAUACGAGUGCUUCGAGCGUUAUCCGGAAUCAUUGGGCGUAAAGGGUGUGUAGGCGGUCAUGUUAGUCUCGCGUUAAAUGCUCCGGCUCAACCGGAGCGCCGCGUGGGAAACGG
This 278-nucleotide ribosomal RNA is filed under the name Patescibacteria group bacterium. RNAcentral describes it as "partial 16S ribosomal RNA". It matches the Rfam family "Bacterial small subunit ribosomal RNA", at positions 312 to 635 of the family's 1533-position model. The record is from RNAcentral.